GGGGGGGGGGGGGGGGGGGCCGGGGGGGGGCGGGGCGGGCGGGCGGGGGGGGAGGUUGGUUCGCUGGUGUUGGCGGCGGGCGGGUGGGUCACACGUGGAUAGCCUACCUAUAAGACUGGGCUAACUUCGUGAAACCGGAGCUAAUACCGGAUAAUAUUUUGACCCGCAUUGUUCAAACGUGAACGGCGGUCUUGCUGUCACUUCUAUAUGGAUCCGCGCUGCAUUAGCUAGUUGGUAAGGUAACGGCGUACCAAGGCAACGAUGCAUAGCCGACCUGAGAGGGUGAUCGGCCACACUGGAACUGAGACACGGUCCAGACUCCUACGGGAGGCAGCAGUAGGGAAUCUUCCGCAAUGGGCGAAAGCCUGACGGAGCAACGCCGCGUGAGUGAUGAAGGUCUUCGGAUCGUAAAACUCUGUUAUUAGGGAAGAACAUAUGUGUAAGUAACUGUGCACAUCUUGACGGUACCUAAUCAGAAAGCCACGGCUAACUACGUG
This 497-nucleotide ribosomal RNA is filed under the name uncultured bacterium. Its description in RNAcentral is "partial 16S ribosomal RNA". It matches the Rfam family "Bacterial small subunit ribosomal RNA", at positions 27 to 507 of the family's 1533-position model. The record is from RNAcentral.